Molecule: ribosomal RNA, 251 nt
Filed under: uncultured bacterium
Lineage: Bacteria
Description: partial 16S ribosomal RNA
Rfam family: Bacterial small subunit ribosomal RNA
Source: RNAcentral
UACAGAGGUCCCAAGCGUUGUUCGGAUUUACUGGGCGUAAAGGGUGCGUAGGUGGUGAGGUAAGUCUGAUGUGAAAUCUCCGAGCUUAACUCGGAAAUGGCAUUGGAAACUACCUUGCUAGGAGGGUGGGAGGGGACAUGAUACUUGGUGUAGCAGUGAAAUGCGUAGAUAUCAAGUGGAACACCAGUGGCGAAGGCGAGUCCCUGGACAACUCCUGACACUGAGGCACGAAAGCUAGGGGAGCAAACAGG